GAUGAACGCUGGCGGCGUGCCUAAUACAUGCCAGUCGAGCGAACAGAGGAGGAGCUUGUUCCCCUGACGAUAGCCGCGCGCGGGAGAGUAACACGUGGAUAACCUACCUAUAAGACUGGGAUAAAUUCGGGACACCGGCGCUUAUCCCGGAAGAUAAAUUGAACCGCAACGUUCAAUUAUAAAAUACGAUUUUACUACUACCAAUUGGACGUUCCUCGUGGCAUCAGCUAGUUGGUGAGGUAACGGCUUAACAAGACAACACAGCGUAGCCGUCCGGGGGGGGUGGUCGGCCACACUGGAACUGAGACACGGUCCAGACUCCUACGGGAGGAAGCGGUGGGGAAUUUUCGGCAAUGGGCGAAAGCUUGACGGAGCAACGCGGCGGGGGUGAUGAAGGUCUUCGGAUCGUAAGCCUCUGUUAUUGGGGAAGAACAAAUGUGGAAGUAACAAUGCACGUCUUGACGGUACCUUAUCAGAAAGCCACGGCUAACUACGUG
This 497-nucleotide ribosomal RNA is filed under the name uncultured bacterium. RNAcentral describes it as "partial 16S ribosomal RNA". It matches the Rfam family "Bacterial small subunit ribosomal RNA", at positions 28 to 507 of the family's 1533-position model. The record is from RNAcentral.